GUGAAUCAUCGAAUCUUUGAACGCAAAUUGCACUCUCCUCGGAGAGUAUGCCUGUUUGAGGGUCAGCCUAUAAAAAAUCGCCAUCGUUGCUGUUUCGCGGUGGCGUUCGUCGGAACUUGGGUCAUCUUAAAACUUUUGGUUUUAAGCGACUUAAAAUUUUCUUUUUGUUUCCAUGAACGCUUCUAAUAUUUAUUUCUUUACACGUUUAAGGUAUCGUUUUUUAUUAGACUGGACC
This 235-nucleotide unclassified non-coding RNA is filed under the name Glomus sp. RNAcentral's name for it is "partial contains 5.8S ribosomal RNA and internal transcribed spacer 2". The stretch from base 1 to 65 matches the Rfam family "5.8S ribosomal RNA", at positions 84 to 154 of the family's 154-position model. The record is from RNAcentral. Lineage: Eukaryota; Fungi; Glomeromycota; Glomeromycetes; Glomerales; Glomeraceae.